This is a long non-coding RNA of Pieris napi, 341 nucleotides long. RefSeq lists it as uncharacterized. The transcript is spliced from 2 exons. NCBI's taxonomy places the organism in Eukaryota, Metazoa, Arthropoda, Insecta, Lepidoptera, Pieridae. The record is from RefSeq and is a predicted model, not a curated record.
GAAAAAUUCUUUACUUGUUUAAUACAGAAAAUGAUUAAAUUAUGUACCUGUUUUAUAUACCAAUGACUACUUAAUGAAUGAUUAUAAAAGAAAUGAGAACCUUACCCUUCUAAAUUUUAAUUACCACAAUAAUUCAAAUACAUAGAAUCCUCCAUUUUUCUAAUUCAGAAGAUGAUUCUACCUGUGUUAUGUACCAAUGACUACUUAAAUGAUUAUAACAGAAAUGUUAUCAUUUUACCAAUUAUUUCUCUAUGACAAAAUAUAUUAUUUAAAUAUUCGGUAUUCGGCCGAAUAUAAUAAAAGCAGCCGAAUAGGCCGAAUACCGAAUAGUAACCGAAUAU